ACAGCCAAUCACAGUCCGGAGUUAGAAGAUGACAGAGAGAUUGAGGAAGAGCCUUUAUCUGAGGACCUGGAAUGAGAACGAACUUGUGACACCUCAGUGUGAAGGGACAUAUCACUGACCUUCAUAACCACUCCACAACCAUGAAUAGUUGACAAAUUUUUACUGUGACUAUUUAUUAAGCAUGGAUAAAGGAGACAGCCCUAAAGGAACUUACUAAGCCAGCCCUUUGGGAUUCAGAACCAACAGGCAAAUUGCUUGUUUUCUUCUCUUUCUGUCCUUAUUUUGUUUGUUUGUUUGUUUGAUUUUACUUUCUUUACUUAUUUUCUUUUUUUCAUUUUUUUAAAGGCAAAAAAAAAAACUGAUUUUCUUGGGAAAAGAGAGAAAGAACUGUUCUUUCUAUAAUGGCUUUGCCCAUUUAAAAAAUGUGGCUCUCAAGGGUUCAUGAAAUGACUGAGUAUGAGGAUCCAUGUCCUAUAGAAAGCAACUGCGCCUCAUAUACUGCCAAAAAUAGUGUUAGUUUCAUUAAUGUGAAUUUUCCAGCAUUCAGUAGUCGUAAUGUUAGAAACAAUUGCUGGUCAAGUUCAACUUGUUGCUAUUGUUUUUAAUUUGCACAGGAGUAGUAUCAGAAAUUAGUGUCACUGCUUGUAUCUAGCUGACUUUUAAACAACAGAACAUUAGUUUUUUAUGUUGGUGCCACCAACUGUAAAUGACAUAAGUUAGUUAUUACAAAACACAGUAAUUAGACUGUUGCAACCAUCUAAAACCUUAGGCUUCCAGUCUGUGCUGUUAGUGUAAAGAUGUAAAGUGCAAUCCUAAGCUAACAUUAUCUGUGCAAGCACCAUAGAAACAUUUGCAUAUCUGCAUAGAUCUUACAACUGUACUCUUUACCUCCUUGUGAUAAAGCUUUGUCUACCUGCAAACACAGUCAAAGGCUACAGCUGCAAACCAAAGCCAACUCUAACCAUGGCCAAGAGCUCAAGGACAGAAGCAGCCACAUGCUUUGGUCAGCCUUCUGUAACUUCAAUUAGUACAAAGGAACCUUUUCCAUGAACUACCUGCUGUUUUCUGAUGACCUCUGGGAUCUUUUCAUUUAGCCCUAAACAAAGAAACGAAUAUGACAAAACAAAAACAAAAAAACAACCCACAACUAAGAGUUCAUUCAGUCACAGAGUAAUCUUCUGAGGCCAAAAGUCCAUCUAAAUGCAAUGAAGAUUUGCUUUCAUUAAAGACAGAGGUGAGGACAAAAUCUGCAGUGGAAGUUAUGACACUCUAGAAAGCAACAAAUGUGGAUCACUGACCAAAACAAUUAUGUACUUGAUGCAAAUGCAGAUUGCGUAUUGUUAUAUAUAUAGUACAUUGCGUUUUUGUUUUCCCCAUCUUUUUGGUGGUGAGUUCAUGUUGUUAGAAGUACAUGUCUUGUAUGGUCUUAAUCUCUGUUGUGUACUAUUUUUUUAUAGUCUUAAGUUAUAAUAAAAAAAAACAAAAAACAAAAAACAAAAAGUAGGAACCAAACAUAAAAGGUCUAGUAAAGCCAAAAAUUAAUUUCCUAUUGAUUUUAAAGUGAUCUAGCUGAGUUUUUACACUGAAAGCAAAGAUUAUAGCAAGUGUAGCCCAUGGUAUUUAUUUUCAGUCAAACCAAAGUUACAUAUAAUUCUGCCUCUGCUUAUACGGGAUAUGAACACUAACACACUCCCUUCAAAGACUUGUGCAGGCCAAAUUGUUGGAAUGCUGAUUUUCUUGACAACUCUAAACCCCAAAACUAUGAUAAGACGUUAUGGUGUAGUUGAAGAUAGCAUAGUCAGAUGUUUGCUUAAAACCUAGAGACUUUAUGUGUUGCUUUUCAUGUGCUGUGCCAAGUCUUGAUAAUACUUUUUCCCCCAACCAAGGGACCUCAUAACCUGAUUAUGGUUAUUGCUUUACAAACAGUUUUGACAGAAGGUGGCUGCUAGAGCUUAACAAAUGUCCCGGUUCCAUGUGAUGGAGCCGGUUCUUGCAAACUAAGCUCAAUGUUUAUCCUUUGCUGAAGUCAGCAAAUAGAGUUAGAGAGAUACCCAGUCAUCUAUCACACCAAAUAAAAGGACAUAACGGCUUUCAAAGGGUUUUCCCACUUACCCAAAAGGCUUUCUGAAAGCUUCUACCUCUGC
RNAcentral lists this long non-coding RNA (2144 nucleotides) under Mus musculus (house mouse). Its description in RNAcentral is "long non-coding RNA chr6:15437946-15440090". Lineage: Eukaryota; Metazoa; Chordata; Mammalia; Rodentia; Muridae. The record is from RNAcentral.